Molecule: non-coding RNA, 115 nt
Organism: Triticum aestivum (bread wheat)
Lineage: Eukaryota; Viridiplantae; Streptophyta; Magnoliopsida; Poales; Poaceae
Source: Rfam
AUUAUACUCCCUCCGUUCGGAAUUACUUGUCUCGGAAAUGGAUGUAUCUAGAACUAAAAUACGUCUAGAUACAUCCAUUUCUGCGACAAGUAAUUCCGAACGGUGGGAGUAUUAC